AUCGCUUCUCGGCCUUUUGGCUAAGAUCAAGUGUAGUAUCUGUUCUUAUCAGUUUAAUAUCUGAUACGUCCUCUAUCCGAGGACAAUAUAUUAAAUGGAUUUUUGAAGCCGGGAGAUGGAGUAGGAGCUUGCUCCGUCCACUCCACGCAUCGACCCAGUAUUGCAGUACCUCUGGGAACGGUGCACUUCCC
Molecule: small nuclear RNA, 191 nt
Filed under: Notamacropus eugenii (tammar wallaby)
Lineage: Eukaryota; Metazoa; Chordata; Mammalia; Diprotodontia; Macropodidae
Description: U2 spliceosomal RNA (ENSMEUG00000017487.1)
Rfam family: U2 spliceosomal RNA
About the family: U2 is a small nuclear RNA (snRNA) component of the spliceosome (involved in pre-mRNA splicing). Complementary binding between U2 snRNA (in an area lying towards the 5' end but 3' to hairpin I) and the branchpoint sequence (BPS) of the intron results the bulging out of an unpaired adenosine, on the BPS, which initiates a nucleophilic attack at the intronic 5' splice site, thus starting the first of two transesterification reactions that mediate splicing.
Source: RNAcentral